ACGAACGCUGGCGGCGUGCUUAACACCUGCAAGUCGAACGAGAGCGUAGAGAAAGCUUGCUUUUUCUACAAUCUAGUGGCAAACGGGUGAGUAACGCGUAAACAACCUGCCCUACGGAUGGGGACAACAGCUGGAAACGGCUGCUAAUACCGAAUACGUUCCGAAAGUCGCAUGACUAUCGGAAGAAAGGAUGGCCUCUAUUUAUAAGCUAUCGCCGGAGGAGGGGUUUGCGUCUGAUUAGCUAGUUGGAGGGGUAACGGCCCACCAAGGCGACGAUCAGUAGCCGGUCUGAGAGGAUGAACGGCCACAUUGGAACUGAGACACGGUCCAGACUCCUACGGGAGGCAGCAGUGGGGAAUCUUCCGCAAUGGGCGAAAGCCUGACGGAGCAACGCCGCGUGAGUGAAGACGGCCUUCGGGUUGUAAAGCUCUGUUAUACGGGACGAAUAAUCUUGUGGUUAAUACCCAUGAGAAGUGACGGUACCGUAAGAGAAAGCCACGGCUAACUACGUG
RNAcentral lists this ribosomal RNA (512 nucleotides) under uncultured bacterium. RNAcentral describes it as "partial 16S ribosomal RNA". It matches the Rfam family "Bacterial small subunit ribosomal RNA", at positions 29 to 507 of the family's 1533-position model. The record is from RNAcentral.